GAUGAACGCUGGCGGCGUGCCUAAUACAUGCAAGUCGAGCGAACAGACGAGGAGCUUGCUCCUCUGACGUUAGCGGCGGACGGGUGAGUAACACGAGGAUAACCUACCUAUAAGACUGGGAUAACUUCGGGAAACCGGAGCUAAUACCGGAUAAUAUAUUGAACCGCAUGGUUCAAUAGUGAAAGACGGUUUUGCUGUCACUUAUAGAUGGAUCCGCGCCGCAUUAGCUAGUUGGUAAGGUAACGGCUUACCAAGGCAACGAGGCGUAACCGACCUGAGAGGGGGAUCGGCCACACUGGAACUGAGACACGGACCAGACUCCUACGGGAGGCAGCAGUAGGGAAUCUUCCGCAAUGGGCGAAAGCCUGACGGAGCAACGCCGCGUGAGUGAUGAAGGUCUUCGGAUCGUAAAACUCUGUUAUUAGGGAAGAACAAAUGUGUAAGUAACUAUGCACGUCUUGACGGUACCUAAUCAGAAAGCCACGGCUAACUACGUG
Molecule: ribosomal RNA, 497 nt
Filed under: uncultured bacterium
Lineage: Bacteria
Description: partial 16S ribosomal RNA
Rfam family: Bacterial small subunit ribosomal RNA
Source: RNAcentral